RNAcentral lists this ribosomal RNA (281 nucleotides) under uncultured bacterium. RNAcentral's name for it is "partial 16S ribosomal RNA". It matches the Rfam family "Bacterial small subunit ribosomal RNA", at positions 28 to 310 of the family's 1533-position model. The record is from RNAcentral.
GAUGAACGCUAGCGGCAGGCUUAACACAUGCAAGUCGAGGGGUAGUGGUAGCAAUACCAUGAGACCGGCAAACGGGUGCGGAACACGUACACAAUCUACCUUUAUCUGGGGCAUAGCCCGAAGAAAUUCGGAUUAAUACCCCACUAAAAUAAACAAAGUAGGCAUCACUUAAUUAUUAAAUCUCCGGAGGAUAGAGAUGAGUGUGCGUCCCAUUAGCUAGUUGGUAGGGUAACGGCCACCAAGGCGACGAUGGGUAGCUGGUGUGAGAGCACGACCAGCCA